CCUGAGAAACCCAAAAGAUCGAAUGGGGAGAUUCAUCGUCAGCGAUACUGGCACGUGUGCGGUUCGUGAUGCCGGAGACUUCGGUCUCAUGGCACACGUCCGUAUGGUUUUUUGCCGGGUUUGUCGUCGGCGUGCACUUCUCCCCUAGUAGGACGUCGCGACCCGUUGGGUGUCGGUCUACGGCCCGAGUGGGCGCCUGUCAUGUGCUUAGCUUUACGGCGUCAUGUGGCAGACCCUCGGUUGUCUGACCAGCUGCCCGGCGGUACUCGCACGGUAUCGAGUCGCAAAUAUUUGAACUGCGUCCGGCCCGCCGCAAGCGAGGCCAGUGUUUCCCGGAUGUACGGACUUUGCGCCGUCACCGGGCCUGGCCAGCUGUUGGUUGGCGGUGUCCUGGGACUGACUCAUGAAUUAUGAUACCGGUCGGCGACGCUACUGCUUUGGGUACUUUCAGGA
This 453-nucleotide ribosomal RNA is filed under the name Scolomus sp. CNC 422401. RNAcentral's name for it is "partial 28S ribosomal RNA". Lineage: Eukaryota; Metazoa; Arthropoda; Insecta; Hymenoptera; Ichneumonidae. The record is from RNAcentral.